CCUACGGGUGGCAGCAGUAGGGAAUCUUCCACAAUGGGCGCAAGCCUGAUGGAGCAACACCGCGUGAGUGAAGAAGGGUUUCGGCUCGUAAAGCUCUGUUGUUGGAGAAGAACGUGCGUGAGCGUAACUGUUUACGCAGUGCCGGUACCCAACCAGAAAGUCACGGCUAACUACGUGACAGCAGCCGCUGUAAUACGUAGGUGGCAAGCGUUAUCCGGUUUUAUUGGGCGUAAAGCGGGCGCAGGCGGUUGCUUAGGGUUGAUGUGAAAGCCUUCGGCUUAACCGAAGAAGGGCCUCGGAAACCGGGCGACUUGAGUGCAGAAGAGGACAGUGGAA
Molecule: ribosomal RNA, 336 nt
Filed under: uncultured bacterium
Lineage: Bacteria
Description: partial 16S ribosomal RNA
Rfam family: Bacterial small subunit ribosomal RNA
Source: RNAcentral